RNAcentral lists this ribosomal RNA (475 nucleotides) under uncultured bacterium. RNAcentral's name for it is "partial 16S ribosomal RNA". It matches the Rfam family "Bacterial small subunit ribosomal RNA", at positions 30 to 523 of the family's 1533-position model. The record is from RNAcentral.
AUUGAACGCUGGCGGAAUGCCUAACACAUGCAAGUCGAGCGGAGUAGCAAUACUCAGCGGCGGACGGGUGAGGAAUACAUAGGAACUUGCCUUUAGGUGGGGGAUAGCUUGGGGAAACUCAAGGUAAUACCGCAUGAUCUCGCAAGAGCAAAGGGGCGCAAGUCUCGCCUGUAGAGAGGCCGAUGUCUGAUUAGCUAGUUGGCGGUGAAAUAGACCACCAAGGCGACGAUCAGUACCUGGUCUGAGAGGACGAUCAGUCACACCGGAACUGAGACACGGUCCGGACUCCUACGGGAGGCAGCAGUGGGGAAUAUGGGACAAGGGGCGAAAGCCUGAUCCAGCAAUUCCGCGUGUGUGAAGAAGGCCUUCGGGUUGUAAAGCACUGUAGUGAGGGAAGAAACAGCUUGGCCACACCAAGCCUUGACGGUACCUCAAGAAUAAGCACCGGCUAACUCUGUGCCAGCAGCCGCCGUAA